RNAcentral lists this ribosomal RNA (300 nucleotides) under uncultured eukaryote. RNAcentral describes it as "SSU rRNA". It matches the Rfam family "Eukaryotic small subunit ribosomal RNA", at positions 5 to 301 of the family's 1831-position model. The record is from RNAcentral.
UGGUUGAUCCUGCCAGUAGUCAUAUGCUUGUCUCAAAGAUUAAGCCAUGCAUGUCUAAGUACAUACUUUUGCACGGUGAAACCGCGAAUGGCUCAUUAAAUCAGUUAUGGUUCCUUAGAUCGUUCAUACUACAUGGAUAACUGUGGUAAUUCUAGAGCUAAUACAUGCAAAAAGCUCCGACCGUAUGGGAAGAGCGCUUUUAUUAGACCAAAACCAAUGGGGUUUUCCGACUCCUUUGACUGGUGACUCUGGAUAACUUUAUGCUGAUCGCAUGGCCUUGAGCCGGCGACGUAUCUUUCC